RNAcentral lists this ribosomal RNA (483 nucleotides) under uncultured bacterium. Its description in RNAcentral is "partial 16S ribosomal RNA". It matches the Rfam family "Bacterial small subunit ribosomal RNA", at positions 29 to 507 of the family's 1533-position model. The record is from RNAcentral.
AUUGAACGCUGGCGGCAUGCUUUACACAUGCAAGUCGAACGGCAGCGCGGGCUUCGGCCUGGCGGCGAGUGGCGAACGGGUGAGUAAUACAUCGGAACGUGCCCAGUAGUGGGGGAUAGCUCGGCGAAAGCCGGAUAAUACCGCAUACGACCUGAGGGUGAAAGCGGGGGAUCUUCGGACCUCGCGCUAUUGGAGCGGCCGAUGGCAGAUUAGCUAGUUGGUGGGGUAAAGGCCUACCAAGGCGACGAUCUGUAGCUGGUCUGAGAGGACGACCAGCCACACUGGGACUGAGACACGGCCCAGACUCCUACGGGAGGCAGCAGUGGGGAAUGUUGGACAAUGGGCGAAAGCCUGAUCCAGCAAUGCCGCGUGUGUGAUGAAGGCCUUCGGGUUGUAAAGCACUUUUGGCGGGAACGAAAAGGACUGUGCCAAUACCACGGUUCGAUGACGGUACCCGCAGAAUAAGCACCGGCUAACUACGUG